RNAcentral lists this small RNA (598 nucleotides) under Vallitalea guaymasensis. Lineage: Bacteria; Bacillati; Bacillota; Clostridia; Lachnospirales; Vallitaleaceae. The record is from RNAcentral.
UACUAAAGAUGCAGUAUCCUAGUUGGUACCAUUAAUCUCGAAGACGGGCCUAAAAAUCCGUAAAAGGGCAUAUCGAUGAAGUUCCUGGUGUUGGCUGGUGACGCCCAGUCGCGGGCUUAUGCUGGGAGUUAAGACAUAAGGGCGAUCCACAAUGGCAUGUGGGCGUGGACCCUUUUGUCGUGGAGACCUGCGUAUGUGGAAACUGUUAGAUACAGUUAUCUACGGCGCGGGAGUAAACCUGUCAUGCGGCGAAAGCUGUGGACAGAGUAGCCUGCCUUGCGUGAAAUAAAGGGGAUAGUAAUUUAAGAGCAAAACUUUUGGCCAAAAGUGAAGCAGAUAUUGUUACUUGAAACUUUUUUUCGCUAAAGAGGCUAGGGAUUAAAUGGUAUCACUGAGGAAAACUCCUAGGCUGUUCAUUUUUUGAAGCUUAUUUAGGAUUACAGUGUGGUUGUAAGGUGAUCUAGCGCUACUUAUGGUGACAUAGUAGGAAUUAAUUUAAUGGGGAACCACUUUUUUGGCGACAAAAAAGUAUUAAUUCGGGAAAACCUGCUGGACUAUAAGCCGCAAAAUUUACUAAAUUUGCUAUCUUUAGUAUUAA